CCAAUAGCGUAUAUUAAAGUUGCUGCAGUUAAAAAGCUCGUAGUUGAAUUUCGGAACCAAUAUGUUGGUUGUGCCUCGGUACGUACUGGCAUUGUUGGUUUCUCCCUUCUGACGAACUAUGAUGUCAUUAAUUUGGUGUCAUGGGGAAUCAGGACUGUUACUUUGAAAAAAUUAGAGUGUUUAAAGCAGGCUCACGCUUGAAUACAUUAGCAUGGAAUAAUGAAAUAGGACGUUUGAUUCUAUUUUGUUGGUUUCUAGGAUUGACGUAAUGAUUAAUAGGGAUAGUUGGGGGCAUUAGUAUUCAAUUGUCAGAGGUGAAAUUCUUGGAUUUAUUGAAGACUAACUACUGCGAAAGCAUUUGCCAAGGAUGUUUUCAUUAAUCAAGAACGAAAGUUAGGGGAUCGAAGACGAUCAGAUACCGUCGUAGUCUUAACCAUAAACUAUGCCGACUAGGGAUCGGAUGAUGUUAAUUUUAAUGACUCAUUCGGCGCCUUACGGGAAA
RNAcentral lists this ribosomal RNA (502 nucleotides) under uncultured Glomeromycotina. RNAcentral's name for it is "SSU rRNA". It matches the Rfam family "Eukaryotic small subunit ribosomal RNA", at positions 591 to 1097 of the family's 1831-position model. The record is from RNAcentral. Lineage: Eukaryota; Fungi; Glomeromycota.